GUGCCAGCCGCCGCGGUAAUACCGGCAGCUCGAGUGAUGGCCGAUAUUAUUGGGCCUAAAGCGUCCGUAGCUGGCCAGACAAGUCUGUUGGGGAAUCCACGUGCUCAACGCGUGGGCGUCCAGCGGAAACUGUCUGGCUUGGGGCCGGAGGACUCGAGGGGUACGUCCGGGGUAGGAGUGAAAUCCUGUAAUCCUGGACGGACCGCCGGUGGCGAAAGCGCCUCGAGAGGACGGACCCGACAGUGAGGGACGAAAGCCAGGGUCUCGAACCGGAUUAGAAACCCUAGUAGUCC
Molecule: ribosomal RNA, 293 nt
Filed under: uncultured bacterium
Lineage: Bacteria
Description: partial 16S ribosomal RNA
Rfam family: Archaeal small subunit ribosomal RNA
Source: RNAcentral